UAGGAGAGGCAUCGGGCUCCGGCAGAGCAACCUUCUGAUCGACGAAGCAAACCUGACGAUCUGAGAGGAGGACCAGGCCUAGGAGAGGCAUCCUGCACCAGCGGAACAACCUGAUGACAACGUAGCUUCGAAAUCGACUCCGCUGUUGCGCAUCAGUGUCGGUGAGUCAAAAACUUUUAUUUACUUUUAAGGUAACGAAUUUGUGGAGUUUGUAGAUGUAGAUUGUAGAUAUAGAUUGUAGAUUAUAGGUUCGUUACCUUAAAAUAAAUGG
Long non-coding RNA from Camponotus floridanus (Florida carpenter ant), 271 nucleotides. RefSeq lists it as uncharacterized. NCBI's taxonomy places the organism in Eukaryota, Metazoa, Arthropoda, Insecta, Hymenoptera, Formicidae. The record is from RefSeq and is a predicted model, not a curated record. The transcript has 3 exons.